Long non-coding RNA from Musca domestica (house fly), 1289 nucleotides. RefSeq lists it as uncharacterized. The transcript is spliced from 2 exons. Lineage: Eukaryota; Metazoa; Arthropoda; Insecta; Diptera; Muscidae. The record is from RefSeq and is a predicted model, not a curated record.
AUUUAUGCGCUGAGAUGGUAGCCGCUGGCUGAAACGAAGGUGUUGUUGUUUCGGAUCAGUCCGGUACAGUUGAAACCGCCGCCGUGGCGAUUUUAAUUUCGAUAAACUGCGCCACAUUUUCGUCUCUAGGCAAAUACUUCUCUGAAUUACUAAUGCAUAUGCACAUUCUCCAUUUGUCUGGAAUCCGUCUGUUAUGCAAGCCACACACGAUACAAUUGGUUGUACAACUUGGAGAGAUUUUAUUCAAGAUUGUAUCGUUUGUGGCCCGGUUGUACGAAGUUGUGUCUCGGUUGUACGAAAAAUCAAAUUAUUUUUAAUGUUUGGCAUGUUGUACCAACCGAUUGUAACGUUUGUGGACACAUCAAAACAACACCAAAAUGGAAGACUCCGCACAAAUGCGUGAUUUUAUUGAAUGUUAUAAAAGUAUGAUGGAAUUGUGGAAUUGCAAAAAUGAAAAUUAUAAAAAUAAAAACAUGCGAAAUAAAAGCUAUGAUAAACUGUUAAUUGAAUAUAAAAAAAAAUGAUGGGAUCCUUAAAAAAGUGAAGAAGAAAAUAGCAAAUAUGCGGACUUGUUAUCGCCGCGAAUUGAUGAAAGUGAUAAAGAGUCAAAAGUCUGGAUCGGGAGUAAUGAAAUUUAUGUGUCAAAGUUUUGUCAAGUUUUUAAAAAAAGUGCUGAACAUUUGGAGUCGUCAGCAAACAAUUCAAAAGUCGAAGAUGGAGCCACUACAUAUGCAAAUGGAUAGGCUUGCAUGUAUCGGCAAAUGAACCCAAAACAACAAUUACAUGCAAAAAGAGCCAUUGAUGAAAUUUUGAUGAUGGGACGAUUAAAUCAAUUGACCUAUAAUACACUGCAAAGCAGUUUAAAUGGAUCUUCCACUCCAAACUCCAACAGCUCGAUCCCGCUGAUUUUUAGCACAAUUCGGUUCAAUAUAUACGGACGUCAGUACUGCCAAGCGAUAGUCAAAAAAAUGUAUGGAAUGAAUCUUCCACGCCAAAUUCCAUAGCUCGACCCCGUUUAUUUUCAGUGACGAUUCUGUUCAAUACAUACAGACGUCAGUCUUGCAAAGCGGUAGGGAAACCUAACCUAAUAUACGUACAACUUCAAACCCAGCAAAUAAAUCACACCACUAUUAAGAUUUUAAAGAAUUAUUUAAUGAUUCUGAGUACCAAUAAAUCAAAAACUUUUUGAAAUUAUAUGAUUUUAAUUUUUAGUUAAUAAAAAUCUUUAAUGUAAAUAAAAAUUAUGUAAUAAAGUGUUCUCAAUUGUUAUAUUGUUUCACAAAACUUAA